AAGGACCAAGAAGGAAAAUGCUUCUAUCUUCUAAACGGAGAGUAAAAAAAUACUCAAGUUGAAUUAAAAGGCAGGUGACGGGUUCUAAAGGCUUGCCAUUAUCCACAUGCCAACGAGCAUAAAAUGCUUUCUUUUUCGGCUUCUCGCCAAACAUAUUUGUCUCUUUCUCCACUACCAAAAAACACAAAGAAAAAGAAACCCACUAAUGCUAAAUACCAGCUACGCUAAUAUCCACCCUAAAGCCUAAACCUCAAGUAAAACAGAAAAACCACCACCAAAGACAGGGAGCCUAAAAAAAAUAAAACAAAAAUGGCCUUGACAGCCAAUCACCACCCAAUCAACCUCCCCCAAGUCAAGGCUCAGAGCCGCACCCAAAAUCCCACCCUCUGCGGUGGGGUUACCCAAUACCCACAAAAACAUGAUAAACAUGAAAUUUUAACCAAUGAUAGAUUAGAUCGAAAUGGGCGCCAUUGAAGUCAGAAGGAAAAAAAGGAGGUGGACCUCUUUGUCAUAUAGGAUGGUGCGCAACUUAUCACGCACCACCCCCCCCCCCCCGGUGCACGUUAGCCCCCCCACUCACGCACACCUAAGCGGUGGCCUCAUCCAUCUAGAUCUCAAAAUCAGCCGCACACCCCUCCAACCCCCCCACCCCCUAAAACAACCAAUCAAUAUGUCACCAAACCCUACUUUCUCCUCCACCUCUCCUCCACGCCCAACAUUAUCUCCCGCUCCACAAUUAUUCUCCUCCUCCCCCUCCUCCCCUUAUCUUAGUUUUCUUUCCUCGCAGCCCCGGAUCCGUCUUGCUAAAGUGCACCGCUUCCCUUAUCCAGCACCCCAAUCUACCACGCGCCCAACAUCCUUAGCCUACUCUGUGACCAGAAAUAUUCGAUUAUGUUGAACCCAUCUUCUCCCUCACCCCAACAGGACCUACCAUCGAACACGUCUCCACCACCAUCAGAACCGCCGCUGGCUCUCCCAGCACCGCCAACAUCCACAUCUACGCCAUCAGCAACCACCACCGUCACACCCAACCCUAGGCGGCUCCCACCGCCUUGUUGGUCACACGAUGAAACCGUUGCCUUAAUAGACGCGUACCGCGACAAAUGGUACACGCUUCGUCGCGGGAACCUCAAGGCCACACACUGGCAAGAAGUGGCGGACGCAGUGGCUCGACGCUGCCCCAUGGCGACGCCUCCUAAAACGGCCGUGCAGUGCCGCCACAAGAUGGAGAAGCUCCGAAAGCGGUAUCGAACAGAGAUCCAGCGGGCUAGAUCCAUGCCCAUUUCGAGAUUUAUUUCUUCUUGGGUCCACUUUAAGCGCAUGGACGCUAUGGAAAAGGGACCUAAUGUGAAAUCCGAUUACAAUUCGGAUAGCCCAGAUGAGGAAAAUGAUGAAGACGAAGAAGACGACCAAGAUCAAGACUUUUACGAGGAUGGGUAUAAGAAUGGAAGCGUUAAUACGAGAAGUGUACAAAAGUUGUACCGAAAUGGGAUUAGAAACAGUGGUGGAAGUGUCAGCGGUAGUGGCGGUGGCAGCGGCGGUAGUAGCGGUGGCUUUAGGAUUAGGAUUCCUACUGUAGUUAGUAUAGCGCAGCCAGGGCCAAGAUUUUAUGGAAAAAUGGAUCAGAAAUACGGUGCAAAUCCUACUUCCAACCCUCAACCUACCGCGAAUCCUCACCCUAAUAAGGGUAAUUUUGGUGUGUCAGGGUCCGGAUCGGCCUAUGGGACUAGGGUUUUGAGGGGAUUUGAAGAGACACCAGGGAAAGUAGCGGCGUCAGGGAAGAGGGAGAGAGAUGCGGUAACGGAGAUGGUGUCAGCUAUAAAGGUGUUGGGAGAUGGGUUUGUGAGGAUGGAGCAGAUGAAGAUGGAGAUGGCAAGGGAGAUAGAGACGAUGAGGAUGGAGAUGGAGAUGAAGAGAACUGAGAUGAUAUUGGAGUCACAGCAGAGGAUUGUGGAAGCUUUCGCCAAGGCAGUUUCGGAGAGGAAGAAGAAGCCCAAAAGAAUGCCCUCACCGGAGUCUUGAGAUGGAUUACAUGCAAUAACGGAAAUUGGGUUUUCAAUCCUUUGGCUACGGACCUACGGAUGUGUAAGUGUUAUUCAUUUGUUUCUCUGCUCGCUAUGAAGAAGAAAUCCUGACAAUUUUGUAGAUGACACAGAACUUUUACUUUUAUUGAGUAAGAUGAUGUAGGAUUCAGCAUGCAGCUAAGGAUAUGUGAUAUAAUUCCAUUUUGACUAGAUGAAAACGGAAGCUACCUAUGGAUAUGGUUUUUUUAUUAGAGUUUAGUGAAUCGGUUAUCCGUCGGUUGUAUGAUUCAGUACAUCAGGAAAGUUUAUUUUCAGGAGCUAAUAAAGUCUUCAAAGCCUGGUGUUCCACAAUGUACGAGUCAUUCAUACUACAGGUUAAGAUGCUCGGAAGAUUUUCUGACUUGUAUUGUUCUUCAAAUCAUUGUAGAACAGUUUGGUUUUCCUUAUGGCUGAUAUCAAAGCUGGUCGAAUAGCCAGGCAGAUUGCUUCCCCUUUGCUUAAAAGCUUAAUUAUGUUUCAGUUUGCGGAUAGAUGCACUGUAUUAUCUGCAAUAUUUAAUCCUAAUCUAAUGGUCUUCAUAAUCAUCGUGCUGUACCAGAGAUUCAAUGGUCCCAUAGCCAAGUUCAUGUGACAUUUGCAUGCAUGACAUGAGGUUAAGUUGUGGAGCAUCAAGCUUGAAUACCGGAUGUUCUUAAACUAGAUUCACGAGCAAGUUCUGUUAUGUGUUUGCUCUUGCUCGCUUGCACUCAAAGCUCUUACUUGUUGCAUAACUUUCUUACCAUAUUUAAUC
Non-coding RNA from Durio zibethinus, 2814 nucleotides. The record is from RefSeq and is a predicted model, not a curated record. NCBI's taxonomy places the organism in Eukaryota, Viridiplantae, Streptophyta, Magnoliopsida, Malvales, Malvaceae.